AGCGAAAGCGAGUCUGAAUAGGGCGAAUGAGUAUGUGGUCGUAGACCCGAAACCAAGUGACCUACCCAUGUCCAGGUUGAAGGUGCGGUAAUACGCACUGGAGGACCGAACCCACGUAUGUUGAAAAAUGCGGGGAUGAGGUGUGGGUAGCGGAGAAAUUCCAAUCGAACUUGGAGAUAGCUGGUUCUCUCCGAAAUAGCUUUAGGGCUAGCCUCGGAAUUAAGAAUCAUGGAGGUAGAGCAACUGUUUGGACUAGGGGCCCUUCUCGGGUUACCGAAUUCAGAUAAACUCCGAAUGCCAUUGAUUUAUAUCCGGGAGUCAGACUGCGAGUGAUAAGAUCCGUAGUCGAAAGGGAAACAGCCCAGACCACCAGCUAAGGUCCCCAAGUUACUGUUAAGUGGAAAAGGAUGUGGGGUUGCAUAGACAACUAGGAUGUUGGCUCAGAAGCAGCCAUCAUUUAAAGAGUGCGUAAUAGCUCACUAGUCGAGUGACCCUGCGCCGAAAAUGUACCGGGGCUAAACAGUACACCGAAGCUGUGGAUAGAACCUUAUGGUUCUAUGGUAGGAGAGCGUUCUAAGGGCGUCGAAGCUAGACCGUGAGGACUGGUGGAGCGCUUAGAAGUGAGAAUGCCGGUAUGAGUAGCGAAAGACGGGUGAGAAUCCCGUCCACCGAAUGACUAAGGUUUCCUGGGGAAGGCUCGUCCUCCCAGGGUUAGUCGGGACCUAAGCCGAGGCCGAUAGGCGUAGGCGAUGGACAACAGGUUGAUAUUCCUGUACCAGUUUGUUUUGUUUGAACAAUGGAGGGACGCAGAAGGAUAAGGAAAGCGCACUGAUGGAUAUGUGCGUCCAAGCAGUGAGUCUUGACGUGAGUAAAAUGCUUGCGACUAUAAGGAUGAGCUGUGAUGGGGAAGGAAAUAAAGUACUGAAGUUCCUGAUUUCACGCUGCCAAGAAAAGCUUCUAGUUAGAAAUAAACUGCCCGUACCGCAAACCGACACAGGUAGUCGAGGAGAGAAUCCUAAGGUGUGCGAGAGAACUCUCGUUAAGGAACUCGGCAAAAUGACCCCGUAACUUCGGGAGAAGGGGUGCUGACCGCAAGGUCAGCCGCAGUGAAUAGGCCCAAGCGACUGUUUAUCAAAAACACAGGUCUCUGCAAAAUCGAAAGAUGACGUAUAGGGGCUGACGCCUGCCCGGUGCUGGAAGGUUAAGAGGAUGGGUUAGCUUACGCGAAGCUCA
This 1233-nucleotide ribosomal RNA is filed under the name Isobaculum melis. Its description in RNAcentral is "Bacterial large subunit ribosomal RNA". It matches the Rfam family "Bacterial large subunit ribosomal RNA", at positions 670 to 1908 of the family's 2925-position model. The record is from Rfam by way of RNAcentral. Lineage: Bacteria; Bacillati; Bacillota; Bacilli; Lactobacillales; Carnobacteriaceae.